CAGCAACAAAUGUAUACAUAAAAUUUUAACCAUCUGUUAUUCCUUUAACUAAACAAUAUCAAGAUUAAAGAGACUACCAGUAUUUUACAGGAAUACAAGAAUAAGCCUACUGUUAACAGAAUAAAAAGCGUGUGCACAUUUACACAAGGAUAGCACUCAUUUUUCUUCAACUUUUAGCAAACUGGUGAGGAAGAAAACAAACACUUUCUAAAUGUUAAAAAUUAAAUUAAAUUAAAUCAGAUUCACUAGAAAUAUGAGGUGUUUACAUUGGACUUUGUGUUGCUUUUCACCAUUUCAGACAUGAGACAUGUUCCUGUAUGUGGCUUUAUUCAAGCCGUUCUUUCCAUUUGCUAUAUGUAAUUAUAUAUUGGUCAUAUUCAUUUUGUAGAAUUUCUUAUAAAUGUAUUGCUAAGAAUCAAUCUUUCCAAAAGCAAGCAUCCAUUAUUCAUCUUCCAACCUGUCUUUAAGCACAGAGCUAUGGCAGAUAAUUACCCUCUAUCAAUAUAUUAUACAAAGAGAAGGCUACUGUUUACAUGCAUCAGCUGUGCUGUGCUCUCUUGAACUUAUGCUUUUUUUAGGGGGUGCUACAGUUAGGCAGUGGAACAAUGCAAGCUUCCAGUUUGACCAAAACAUUUUAAAGAGAAAAAGUGUGAUUUAUGAAGUAGCUACUAAGAAUGUGCCAUCCAGUUAUAGCCAAAAUAUAAAGUAGUAUUUGUAUUCCACAAAGGAAUCUGUGAUUAGGCAAUUCCUGUAACUGAUGUUUAUUUUGCCACUUAAUUCUGAGACAAACUGUUACCUCUCAAAUGAAUGCUGAUGGAAAUAAACCAAAUGUGCUUUUUAUUAUAUCUAUUAAUAGUUGAGUUCUACACAAGGUGAUUUAAAAAUUUGUUUCCUUUCUAAAUUGUAAGUGUAGAUGAAAUUUAUAGAAUCAGUAUUGUGGGACAUAUGUAAAGUUGCUUUGUCACUAAAUAUUUAGUGGACAUGGAUACUGGCAUACUGGACUUCUUACCAUAGGCAAUUUCUGAUGUCCUAAGGAAUGCUAAUCAAUUUAUGAACCAGAUGUUACUUCCACAUAUGGCUUAGAAAGGCUGUAAUCUCUAUGAUUGAAGACCAUGAGGCUCUUCUGAUUUUCAAGAUAGGGUUUUUUAAUGAAUUUAUCUUUAUGGACACAUUAAAUUAUGUAUGCAUGAGGCUCCUUCAACACAUUUUUUCACAGAGAGCAUGUUAAAGAUUUUAGUGUAGCUUCAGCUUCCUAAAAAACUGCCAAUAAUACAAUUAUGGUAAAAUUACCCUACAAUCGUAAUUGCUUCUUUAAAACAUCACGUGUAAAAUGAAAAUUGUUUUAAUGGGUAAUACAUACCAUUAAGAUCUCAUUUUUGG
Molecule: long non-coding RNA, 1380 nt
Filed under: Homo sapiens (human)
Lineage: Eukaryota; Metazoa; Chordata; Mammalia; Primates; Hominidae
Description: HSALNT0093497
Source: RNAcentral